This is a long non-coding RNA of Perca fluviatilis (European perch), 1115 nucleotides long. RefSeq lists it as uncharacterized. Lineage: Eukaryota; Metazoa; Chordata; Actinopteri; Perciformes; Percidae. The transcript is spliced from 3 exons. The record is from RefSeq and is a predicted model, not a curated record.
AUCAGGCUGAAGGAUGAGUAGGACUCUGCUGUGGCUGCUGGCCUCUCUGGCCUUUUUCUCUCUGACUUCUCUGGCUGAUGGAGCUCCAUUCAAGUAACAGUCGGCAGAAAGAAGGCAAAGCACUUGGAUGUUGGGCAGAUUUUCUUCUUGAUUGUGAAGAAAAAGCAUCUGCUGUGUCCCUAGAGGAUAUACUGAUGUUUGCUACAGGGCUCGCAUCCCUUCCACCUGCUGGAAUAACACCACUACCAUGCAUCGAGUUCUUGACAAAUUCGCCAUUCCCAAACACCUGUGCAAUAUAUGCUAAAGCUCCCUCUCCUUGAGACCUACAGUGUCUUUAAGACAAACAUUGAGUUUGGCUUACAGAAUUCUCCAGGCUUUUCCCAAAGCCUGGAGAACCAAGUCUGGAUUUUUUUAAACAUGCAGUUUAUAAAAGCAUGAAAGAGUGCAUGCUCAGUUCAGUUCACAGUAUUUUAAUGAUUAUUAUUGCUGUUCAUUACUUGGUUGAAUGAAAAAUCACAGAACAGAUGGUAAGUACAGGUCAUAUUACCAGUAACAGUAAAAUUGUAUUCAGCUAAAACAUAUGUAGUUUCAUAUUUGAAACAGUGUAUAACAUUUUGUGCUUGCAAACAAUACGUCUUGAAAAUAAAUUAAGAAAAUUGUUCAUGUUCUUUGGUUGUUCAGACCUACAAUUAAUACACAGUUAACUUGAUGGUGAAUCAGAAAAUAAAAAAAUAUAUAGUUUGGGAUAUUUGAGUUUAAUGUAUGUAUCCACUCUGGUAUGACACUGCAUAUACUGAACUGCACUUGCCAAACCUGAUAAUCAAUAAACAGCUAAGCCACAUUUGAGAAUGUUUUCCUUUAACAUCUGGCCUUUAAGAGUGGGCUGCAGUAGACCAUAUUUAUAGGCCAGCUAUUUCUUUCAAGGUGACAUAUAGUUCUGAGGCUGACUCCCAAUCAUGUGGCUGCUGUAAUCCAUUUUGCUCAACAGUCUGUUGAAGGUAAUCCUGGAUGUCUGGAUCACUGCAUGAAUGAAGAGUUUGCCUUGACUCUGGAAAUGUAUCCAGUUCCCUGUCUUCAACGGCCAAUCCACAGUCCCUUGAACCAAACCUGCAUAG